CCACCCUCAGGCCCGAUCUGUCAGGCCCGGCGUUGGGGCUUCUGUGGGCCUAAUUCUAGGCCCUACAGGCCCCCAAGACCAGUGGCGGGCUCGCCUGGACUCCGAGCGCAGUAAUUUUCUCUCGCUCAGGGGCCUCCGGGAGGGUUCCGGCCGUAAAACCCUUUUAAUUUCUUAAA
This 176-nucleotide unclassified non-coding RNA is filed under the name uncultured Sordariomycetes. Its description in RNAcentral is "sequence contains ITS2". Lineage: Eukaryota; Fungi; Ascomycota; Sordariomycetes. The record is from RNAcentral.